RNAcentral lists this transfer RNA (104 nucleotides) under Staphylococcus aureus. Its description in RNAcentral is "tRNA-Leu". It matches the Rfam family "tRNA". From Rfam's summary of the family: Transfer RNA (tRNA) molecules are approximately 80 nucleotides in length. Their secondary structure includes four short double-helical elements and three loops (D, anti-codon, and T loops). The record is from RNAcentral. Lineage: Bacteria; Bacillati; Bacillota; Bacilli; Caryophanales; Staphylococcaceae.
GCCGGGGUGGCGGAACUGGCAGACGCACAGGACUUAAAAUCCUGCNGCACUAGACUUAGGAUCUAGCGCCUUACGGCGUGGGGGUUCGACUCCCUUCACCCGCA